UUUUCUUGAAUAAUACUAAUCAAACUAUAGUUCACAAAAAUACGUACGAUUUAUUUAUUAACAACCUCACGUCUAGCAAGGUAAAGUACAAAGGUUCCGAACAUUUAACAACAACUUCUAGCUUAUGAGAUUACAAUACUAUAACAUAAAUAAGUUCAAACGCUGAUAUUUAUAAUACAAGACAGCGAUUAUUCUUAACUUAAUCGAACCACUAUUUUACAAAUAUAAACAAGGUAGUUACUCGGAUGGGAAUUCCUCUGAUUCAUUCAAGCCGCGCUUGUGUCUGAGAAUAUGACAGAAUAAAGUAGAGGGAUAAGUCAUAGAAGACUUAGUGAGGUGAAAUAUAAGAAUAACGAGUGACGACAUGAUCUGAGAGAAAGUUCAAUGAUCGAACCAAUUGGUGAUAUCGGAAAAUAGAAGCGUUUAAAGGUUUUGCUUCAAUCAGAAAUUCAAGAAUAAUAGUAAGAAUGUUCAAUCGAUUUUCCGAUCAAUAGAGAUAAGAAUACACCUACCUUGUGACUCCCGUAGCCGUUUACUACCUUAUUCACCGAUCAGGGAAUGACCCUGUAAUGCAAUGUGGCAUGCCCGGGCGCAUGCCGGUUUAGCCCGAAACC
This 614-nucleotide long non-coding RNA is filed under the name Erythranthe guttata (spotted monkey flower). RNAcentral's name for it is "long non-coding RNA (EGUT_LNC002355)". The record is from RNAcentral. Lineage: Eukaryota; Viridiplantae; Streptophyta; Magnoliopsida; Lamiales; Phrymaceae.